RNAcentral lists this ribosomal RNA (427 nucleotides) under uncultured bacterium. RNAcentral describes it as "partial 16S ribosomal RNA". It matches the Rfam family "Bacterial small subunit ribosomal RNA", at positions 355 to 774 of the family's 1533-position model. The record is from RNAcentral.
UGGGGAAUAUUGGACAAUGGGCGAAAGCCUGAUCCAGCCAUGCCGCGUGUGUGAAGAAGGUCUUCGGAUUGUAAAGCACUUUAAGUUGGGAGGAAGGGCAGUAAGUUAAUACCUUGCUGUUUUGACGUUACCAACAGAAUAAGCACCGGCUAACUUCGUGCCAGCAGCCGCGGUAAUACGAAGGGUGCAAGCGUUAAUCGGAAUUACUGGGCGUAAAGCGCGCGUAGGUGGUUUGGUAAGAUGGAUGUGAAAUCCCCGGGCUCAACCUGGGAACUGCAUCCAUAACUGCCUGACUAGAGUACGGUAGAGGGUGGUGGAAUUUCCUGUGUAGCGGUGAAAUGCGUAGAUAUAGGAAGGAACACCAGUGGCGAAGGCGACCACCUAGACUGAUACUGACACUGAGGUGCGAAAGCGUGGGGAGCAAACA